UGGAUCCAGACUUCGAUCAUGGCUCAGGAUGAACGCUAGCUACAGGCUUAACACAUGCAAGUCGAGGGGAAACGAUAGAGAAAGCUUGCCUUUUCUAGGCGUCGACCGGCGCACGGGUGAGUAACGCGUAUCCAACCUGCCCAUCACUUGGGGAUAACCUUGCGAAAGUAAGACUAAUACCCAAUGAUAUCUCAAGAAGACAUCUGAAUGAGAUUAAAGAUUUAUCGGUGAUGGAUGGGGAUGCGUCUGAUUAGCUUGUUGGCGGGGUAACGGCCCACCAAGGCGACGAUCAGUAGGGGUUCUGAGAGGAAGGUCCCCCACAUUGGAACUGAGACACGGUCCAAACUCCUACGGGAGGCAGCAGUGAGGAAUAUUGGUCAAUGGGCGAGAGCCUGAACCAGCCAAGUAGCGUGCAGGAUGACGGCUCUAUGGGUUGUAAACUGCUUUUAUAAGGGAAUAAAGUGAGCCUCGUGAGGCUUUUUGCAUGUACCUUAUGAAUAAGGACCGGCUAAUUCCGUGCCAGCAGCCGCGGUAAUACGGAAGGUCCGGGCGUUAUCCGGAUUUAUUGGGUUUAAAGGGAGCGUAGGCCGGAGAUUAAGCGUGUUGUGAAAUGUAGAUGCUCAACAUCUGCACUGCAGCGCGAACUGGUUUCCUUGAGUACGCACAAAGUGGGCGGAAUUCGUGGUGUAGCGGUGAAAUGCUUAGAUAUCACGAAGAACUCCGAUUGCGAAGGCAGCUCACUGGAGCGCAACUGACGCUGAAGCUCGAAAGUGCGGGUAUCGAACAGGAUUAGAUACCCUGGUAGUCCGCACGGUAAACGAUGGGUGCCCGCUGUUGGUCUGAAUAGGUCAGCGGCCAAGCGAAAGCAUUAAGCAUCCCACCUGGGGAGUACGCCGGCAACGGUGCAACUCAAAUGAAUUGACGGA
Molecule: ribosomal RNA, 926 nt
Filed under: uncultured bacterium
Lineage: Bacteria
Also listed under: 1 other name
Description: bacterial SSU rRNA
Rfam family: Bacterial small subunit ribosomal RNA
Source: RNAcentral